AUGUUCGAGGCGUUCCUCCUCACGGCGAGAGCGAUCGUGCAGGCGGCGGAUUACCUCGCCGGAUUGGAGAGAACGGCGAAAGAGAUCAAGAUCAAGCGCCGGGCGCUCGCCCAGCGCGCAAAUGCCUUGGAAACAAUCCUGCGUUCAUACUGCGAGGCGGCCAGACACAACGCACCGAUGGCCGCCGCACUGGGCAGCUUCGGCGACGCCCUCCAGGACGCGCUCAGGCUUGUCAGGUCCUGCGGCCCCCAAAAUCAGAGCGGCGUCGUCGGCGGCUUGAUCUCUUUUCCUUACAGCAGCAGGAGGAACCUCGCCAUGCUCGCCCACGCUGAAGAGACGAUCGACAGACGCAACAAGGACUUAGAAGUCGCCCUUAAAGCUCCUGACCGCCGUCCUCAAACUGCCGUCGCGCCGGUAUCGCCGGUCAUCAACUACUACUACACCAUACACAACUAUGGCAACAUGGUGCUCCAGCAGCAUCAACCACGAGGAGGAGCCUCAAAUAGCGCUGUUCCCUCCUCGCAGUCACGUCCUCGUCCUGCGGUAGAGACAGGCUUUGCGCUGGCGAUAGGAGCCGCCUUGCAUAGGCAGCAACUCAGAGCGAGGCGUGCAGUCGAUCAGCCGCCUCCCCGACGGUAA
This 639-nucleotide ribosomal RNA is filed under the name Triticum aestivum (bread wheat). Its description in RNAcentral is "partial small subunit ribosomal RNA". Lineage: Eukaryota; Viridiplantae; Streptophyta; Magnoliopsida; Poales; Poaceae. The record is from RNAcentral.